Molecule: ribosomal RNA, 468 nt
Filed under: uncultured bacterium
Lineage: Bacteria
Description: partial 16S ribosomal RNA
Rfam family: Bacterial small subunit ribosomal RNA
Source: RNAcentral
GACGAACGCUGGCGGCGUGCUUAACACAUGCAAGUCGAACGGAAAGGCCCUGCUUUUGUGGGGUACUCGAGUGGCGAACGGGUGAGUAACACGUGAGUAACCUGCCCUUGACUUUGGGAUAACUUCAGGAAACUGGGGCUCAUACCGGAUAGGAGCUCCUGCUGCAUGGUGGGGGUUGGAAAGUUUCGGUGGUGGGGGAUGGACUCGCGGCUUAUCAGCUUGUUGGUGGGGUAGUGGCUUACCAAGGCUUUGACGGGUAGCCGGCCUGCGAGGGUGACCGGCCACAUUGGGACUGAGAUACGGCCCAGACUCCAACGGGAGGCAGCAGUGGGGAAUAUUGCACAAUGGGCGGAAGCCUGAUGCAGCAACGCCGCGUGCGGGAUGACGGCCUUCGGGUUGUAAACCGCUUUCGCCUGUGACGAAGCGUGAGUGACGGUAAUGGGUAAAGAAGCACCGGCUAACUACGUG